CAAUAGCGUAUAUUAAAGUUGUUGCGGUUAAAAAGCUCGUAGUUGGAUUUCUGCUGAGAACGACCGGUCCGCCCUUUGGGUGUGUAUCUGGCUCUUUCUUGGCAUCUUCUUGGUGAACGUUGCUGCACUUGACUGUGUGGAGCGCUACCCAGGACUUUUACUUUGAGGAAAUUAGAGUGUUUCAAGCAGGCAUACGCCUUGAAUACAUUAGCAUGGAAUAAUAAGAUAGGACCUCGGUUCUAUUUUGUUGGUUUCUAGAGCUGAGGUAAUGAUUAAUAGGGAUAGUUGGGGGCAUUCGUAUUUAACUGUCAGAGGUGAAAUUCUUAGAUUUGUUAAAGACGAACUACUGCGAAAGCAUUUGCCAAGGAUGUUUUCAUUAA
Molecule: ribosomal RNA, 380 nt
Filed under: uncultured eukaryote
Lineage: Eukaryota
Description: partial 18S ribosomal RNA
Rfam family: Eukaryotic small subunit ribosomal RNA
Source: RNAcentral